UACCUGGAACUAAAGCUUUUUAUUUUAACUAAUUUUGGGGCCUUAAUAUACCAGUAAUAGACUAAAUCUAAAACUGUACAACAGUUUAUUAACAACAACAGUAUUAACAAAAUUAUGCAACAUGCUUUACACAGUUUUCUAUACGAUUUGCAUCGUGACUUUUCCACCUGAAUGUACCACUGCAGUUGUGCAAUGACCCUGAUACAGGCUACAUGUUUGAGCUUUAUUCAACAACAUAGAAAGAGGAAAGGACAACAGGGAGCGAGAGGGUGGAGCUCAAACAUAGAGAUGGAGUGAUUGAAAUGGAAGUGAGCAGGUAGCUGAAAGGUGGACAGGACUGGUGUGUUUGGAAGAGGGAACUUUAUCGCCUACUUCAUCAUCAAAAUCACCAUCUUAAGGAAAAGGACCAAGACUCAAGGAGUAGGAAGCACGUAGAUGACUCAUGCAAAGUUGAAGGAAUCAGUUUCUGUUUUCUUUAUCAUUUUCUGUAUGAUCGUGAUGUCUCUGUUGACUCAAAUUUCUCUUCAUCUCAUGAUGUCAACACAGCUGAUACCAGACUGAUCCAUGUCAGUUUUCCAGACCGAUGGUGGACUGUGAAGGGGUUUCAAUGGAUAGGCUACUCAGGUGGAAGCGGAGAGAGGAGAUGAGGAGAAGGAAGGUGGGAAAAGUGUGUCUAUUCUCUCUCCACAGCUGAAAGCCAUGAUCCGGAUCAAGAAGAAAUACCUAAAGAAAUCGAAUUCAGUCAGGUCGGCUCAUAAUAUUAACUCAGUUGUGUCCAGUGGUGGACGAAGUACACAAAUCAAGUACUUGAGUAAAAGUACAGAUACGUAUAAUAAAAUAUUACUCCAGUAAAAGUAAAAGUACUCCUUUUUCAAUUUUACUCAAGUGAAAGUACAAAAGUACUAAAUUUUUCAUGUACUUAAGUAAAAAAGUACUGAAAGAUAGAUGUUUGCAAUUUUAUAUAGGCUAAUUUAAUUUUAUAUUAGCACAUUUUUUUAUAUAAUCCUACUGCUCAAAAUACCUGGGAUUUUUUCCAAAAUAACCACUAUAUGGAGUCAAGAUUUAUUUUUGUUGUUGAUAUGGACUACGUUGAUGAGAGUAACGUUAACUGUGAAGCUUACACUGUGAUGUACCUGAGAGAAAACAGAGAUGACCAUCUGAUUUUCAUCAGUAAGAACAAAGUAUUUUAAAGUUUGUUGUUUUACAGAACAUCAGAGUUAUAUAUGACAUGAUAAUAAGGCCUGAAGAUUUUAAGGAAAAUAUAAUUAUAUUUUCAUAAUGAUUUUUUCCUUCUCAAACCUUGUCUGGGGUGUAAAAACACCACUGGCCAAAUGGGGUGCAUCUCUUCCCCUCUUUGAUAAUUACUGUAGUUACCAUGUUCUGAACAUCACAUCCUUUCUUUUCUCCCCAGAUGUAAUCUAUAUAUAUAUAUAUAU
RNAcentral lists this long non-coding RNA (1436 nucleotides) under Carassius auratus (goldfish). Its description in RNAcentral is "lncRNA (ENSCARG00000030390.1)". Lineage: Eukaryota; Metazoa; Chordata; Actinopteri; Cypriniformes; Cyprinidae. The record is from RNAcentral.